GACGAACGCUGGCGGCGUGCUUAACACAUGCAAGUCGAACGGAAAGGCCCUGCUUUUGUGGGGUGCUCGAGUGGCGAAAGGGUGAGUAACAAGUGAGUAACCUGCCCUUGACUUUGGGAUAACUUCAGGAAACUGGGGCUAAUACCGGAUAGGAGCUCCUGCUGCAUGGUGGGGGUUGGAAAGUUUCGGCGGUUGGGGAUGGACUCGCGGCUUAUCAGCUUGUUGGUGGGGUAGUGGCUUACCAAGGCUUUGACGGGUAGCCGGCCUGAGAGGGUGACCGGCCACAUUGGGACUGAGAUACGGCCCAGACUCCUACGGGAGGCAGCAGUGGGGAAUAUUGCACAAUGGGCGGAAGCCUGAUGCAGCAACGCCGCGUGCGGGAUGACGGCCUUCGGGUUGUAAACCGCUUUCGCCUGUGACGAAGCGUGAGUGACGGUAAUGGGUAAAGAAGCACCGGCUAACUACGUG
RNAcentral lists this ribosomal RNA (468 nucleotides) under uncultured bacterium. Its description in RNAcentral is "partial 16S ribosomal RNA". It matches the Rfam family "Bacterial small subunit ribosomal RNA", at positions 28 to 507 of the family's 1533-position model. The record is from RNAcentral.